Molecule: ribosomal RNA, 487 nt
Filed under: uncultured bacterium
Lineage: Bacteria
Description: bacterial SSU rRNA
Rfam family: Bacterial small subunit ribosomal RNA
Source: RNAcentral
UUAGAGUUUGAUCCUGGCUCAGAUUGAACGCUGGCGGCAUGCUUUACACAUGCUAGUCGAGCGGCAGCGCGGGGGCAACCCUGGCGGCGAGCGGCGGACGGGUGAGUAAUGCAUCGGAACGUAUCCCGUAGUGGGGGACAACCCAGCGAAAGCUGGGCUAAUACCGCAUAUGCUCUACGGAGGAAAGCAGGGGACCCGCAAGGGCCUUGUGCUAUGGGAGCGGCCGAUGUCCGAUUAGCUAGUUGGUGGGGUAAAGGCUUACCAAGGCGACGAUCGGUAGCUGGUCUGAGAGGAUGAUCAGCCACACUGGGACUGAGACACGGCCCAGACUCCUACGGGAGGCAGCAGUGGGGAAUUUUGGACAAUGGGGGCAACCCUGAUCCAGCCAUGCCGCGUGCGGGAAGAAGGCCUUCGGGUUGUAAACCGCUUUUGGUCGGGAAGAAAAGGUUCCUUCUAAUAAAGGGGACUGUUGACGGUACCGGCAGAA